GGAGUGCUUGCACUCUGUGAAACAAGAUACAGGCUAGCGGCGGACGGGUGAGUAACACGUGGGUAACCUGCCCAAGAGAUCGGGAUAACACCUGGAAACAGAUGCUAAUACCGGAUAACAACAGAUGAUGCCUAUCAACUGUUUAAAAGAUGGUUCCGCUAUCACUCUUGGAUGGACCUGCGGUGCAUUAGCUAGUUGGUAGGGUAACGGCCUACCAAGGCGAUGAUGCAUAGCCGAGUUGAGAGACUGAUCGGCCACAUUGGGACUGAGACACGGCCCAAACUCCUACGGGAGGCAGCAGUAGGGAAUCUUCCACAAUGGACGCAAGUCUGAUGGAGCAACGCCGCGUGAGUGAAGAAGGGUUUCGGCUCGUAAAGCUCUGUUGUUGGUGAAGAAGGACAGGGGUAGUAACUGACCUUUGUUUGACGGUAAUCAAUUAGAAAGUCACGGCUAACUACGUGCCAGCAGCCGCGGUAAUACGUAGGUGGCAAGCGUUGUCCGGAUUUAUUGGGCGUAAAGCGAGUGCAGGCGGCUCGAUAAGUCUGAUGUGAAAGCCUUCGGCUCAACCGGAGAAUUGCAUCAG
This 583-nucleotide ribosomal RNA is filed under the name uncultured bacterium. RNAcentral describes it as "bacterial SSU rRNA". It matches the Rfam family "Bacterial small subunit ribosomal RNA", at positions 73 to 629 of the family's 1533-position model. The record is from RNAcentral.